UGAAAUCCAGAGGAAGCACUUGGUACAUACUUGUGCAGCUGUGCUGUAGUCCACUUAUAGGAGAGAUUGAACCAAAGGCAUAAACACUUCUAUCAAAUUAUUUCAUGGAUCAUGCUGGUUUUUUUCAUUAAUAAGUUUUAGAAGCAGUGCAGAUGCCACACAAAUAUCUGUUUGUUAGUGACCUCUGCUUUCCAUUACCCAAAUAACAGAGUGCUGUAGCCAGCGUCUCGCAUACCUCGUAUGUGGAGAUGAGCAACGCUGGGGGUUUGCUUCAUGAUCCUUCUGCUGGCAAAAUGGAGUGAGGGAAGAAAUCUAAAACUCUUUUCAGGACAAACCCCUGCAGCCUGUACCUCAACUGGCUAAAGACUCCCUUGGCUUACAGAAGGACAUAUCACUCCAAUCUUGAAAACGAGCUAAACUCAGCAACGAGGCUGCAGAAACUUUCGUUUCUCUUCAGGAAUAUCAUACCUCUCCAGUGACUUGUGAGCUGGUAUGUGAACAAAGGGAGGCCGUUAAAUCGUGCUGCUGGGAACCAUACGGGCAGUAGUCUCUCCAGUCAAAGAAGCUCCUGUGCUCUGCUCUUCUGUUUUCAGAUACUUAACUUUAAAAAAAAGGCAAGUAUUGACACCAUCGCUUUUUAUUGCUUUGUUUCCAUUGCUUUGCUCUCCUUUGCUGUCCUGCUGUGUUUCAUCCAUGUGUCCUCAAUGUUUUGAUAAUUUGCAGCACAGUUUCUCCUAUAAUAUUAAGAAACAUUAAACUAUUAUAACCAUUAUGCCAGCGAUUUAAAUUUGCUUUUAUCCUCCACUGAAAUGAUGGAAGUGUCUUAGUGAGAGACUAGCUUAUAUACACCACACUUGUAAACAAAUAUCUGUAGAACUGCAGUGUUCCACAGUUCUAGUUUUUUCCCUCCAAAAUUGCUAUGAAAAUGACAUAAACAAAAUGCCAUGUUUCACUUUUUGUUUAAAAUCUAAUUAUUAUUCAGGAUUGUUAAAAAAAAAACAACGCAAACCUG
Molecule: long non-coding RNA, 1012 nt
Filed under: Calidris pugnax (ruff)
Lineage: Eukaryota; Metazoa; Chordata; Aves; Charadriiformes; Scolopacidae
Description: lncRNA (ENSCPUG00000019946.1)
Source: RNAcentral